CCCCUUUCAGGGUCACAUCUGGAGAGUUUCCAGUACUCUACCAGUCUCGACUACAGUAGGGUCAGGCAGAGGCCUACCAUUCCACUCCUAGCUGGGCCAGUGGCUAGCGAGUGGAAGGCAAUCUGCUACAAGU
Small nucleolar RNA from Tachyglossus aculeatus (Australian echidna), 133 nucleotides. The record is from RefSeq and is a predicted model, not a curated record. Lineage: Eukaryota; Metazoa; Chordata; Mammalia; Monotremata; Tachyglossidae.